This 253-nucleotide ribosomal RNA is filed under the name uncultured bacterium. Its description in RNAcentral is "partial 16S ribosomal RNA". It matches the Rfam family "Bacterial small subunit ribosomal RNA", at positions 524 to 776 of the family's 1533-position model. The record is from RNAcentral.
UACGAAGGGGGCUAGCGUUGCUCGGAAUUACUGGGCGUAAAGGGCGCGUAGGCGGAUGGCACAGUCAGAUGUGAAAUUCCCGGGCUUAACCUGGGGGCUGCAUUUGAUACGUGUUGUCUUGAGUUCGGAAGAGGGUCGUGGAAUUCCCAGUGUAGAGGUGAAAUUCGUAGAUAUUGGGAAGAACACCGGUGGCGAAGGCGGCGACCUGGUCCGACACUGACGCUGAGGCGCGAAAGCGUGGGGAGCAAACAGG